This 253-nucleotide ribosomal RNA is filed under the name uncultured bacterium. RNAcentral's name for it is "partial 16S ribosomal RNA". It matches the Rfam family "Bacterial small subunit ribosomal RNA", at positions 524 to 776 of the family's 1533-position model. The record is from RNAcentral.
UACAGAGGUCUCAAGCGUUGUUCGGAUUCAUUGGGCGUAAAGGGUGCGUAGGCGGCGCGGUAAGUCGGGUGUGAAAUCUCGGAGCUUAACUCCGAAACUGCAUUCGAUACUGCCGUGCUUGAGGACUGGAGAGGAGACUGGAAUUUACGGUGUAGCGGUGAAAUGCGUAGAUAUUCGCAAGAACACCAGUGGCGAAGGCGGCUCACUGGCUCGGUACUGACGCUGAGGUGCGAAAGCGUGGGGAGCAAACAGG